CACGUAGGGGGCGAGCGUUGUCCGGAUUUAUUGGGCGUAAAGAGCUCGUAGGCGGUCUGUCGCGUCUGCUGUGAAAACUCGGGGCUUAACCCCGGGCCUGCAGUGGGUACGGGCAGACUAGAGUGCGGUAGGGGAGACUGGAAUUCCUGGUGUAGCGGUGAAAUGCGCAGAUAUCAGGAGGAACACCGGUGGCGAAGGCGGGUCUCUGGGCCGAUACUGACGCUGGAGGAGCGAAAGCGUGGGAGCGAACAGG
RNAcentral lists this ribosomal RNA (253 nucleotides) under uncultured bacterium. RNAcentral describes it as "partial 16S ribosomal RNA". It matches the Rfam family "Bacterial small subunit ribosomal RNA", at positions 524 to 776 of the family's 1533-position model. The record is from RNAcentral.